Corapipo altera (White-ruffed manakin) is the source of this 2525-nucleotide long non-coding RNA. RefSeq lists it as uncharacterized. The transcript is spliced from 3 exons. NCBI's taxonomy places the organism in Eukaryota, Metazoa, Chordata, Aves, Passeriformes, Pipridae. The record is from RefSeq and is a predicted model, not a curated record.
AACAUUACCAAAACUCAGAAACUGUUCUCCUGGAACCUUAUCUAAAACGAUAUUAAUUUGUAAGAAUUCUCCCUCUGUAGUGCAAGAACGAAGUAAUAUUAAAUGGAUUGCUGUUAGGCCAAAACUGGCUAAAAGGAAGAGCUGGGAAUAAGGAAUGGAUUUUUUUUCCCACUUGAUUUCCAGUAAACUGACAGUUGACUGAAACUCCACAUUUUCCCUCAUCAAGUUUUAAAGUCUGCAUGCUGGAUACAAACUUGUCACACACUCCUUGCAGACCAAUUUACUGAAACACAUGGAUCAGACAUUAGUGAUUUCUUCAUGGUUAUCAAACUCUGCCGUUUUACAGAAAGUCCAAAAGCUACGUAACCUGUCCUGUGAUUUACUGGAGUUCAGGUUUGAACUGUACCAAGAGCUUCUCUCCGUCUUAGCUGCAGAAUUUAUUUCUUCCAAAGUCUUAGAAAUGGUUCAGACUCAAAAUGACAUUCAAAAGCUGAACAGAAAUGGACAAAGAACACUUGAUUUCUUAAUAUGGGGACACACCCAGCAGGACAGAGUUCGGUUCCUUUGUUAAAUCUGUGUGUUGUCUUGUUUUAGAGAUUGGACUCGCAAAUUAGAAGCCGAGUUUAACCUUUAGAGUGUGCAGCUGCCUCUUGGAAGUGGUGGUGUUCUUGUAGAGAAUGGGUGCUUUGGGAUGGUCUUUCCAGAUUUACCCUGGCAUACGCACGGUGCCCACAAACCUUGGGAUUGCUCUGGAAGCAUUGUGCAUGAGUCUAAAAACAUGUGAGCAUCCUUCUUCAGGAACCAGUAACAAAAUUCUGAACAGCUGGAGAAGGAAAAAUCUGUACUGUGUUUCAAGUUGGUGCUUGCCCUGAAGCUUCUGCAUGGACUGAGCUGUGUCAGCAAGUGCACUUGAAUUUUUGGAAAUGAAUCACUCGCAGCAAAGCUGUUCACACAAGUUGUAUUGUACAUACUGGGACUAUUAAUAUUCCUGUUUGCAUUUCUGUCCAGUUUUUUUACAUUUCCUUUUAUAAUCCUUCUAUACCAUGUCAUAAAUUGAAUACUAAAUUUAAAAGAAUCAAGUGGAGCAUCACAUGAUAGCUCUUUUCUCUCCUCAAGACUUAGAGCUCAGCUUAAAGACUGGCAAGAACGUCUGAGCUUUAGCAGGACAACUGUCUGUAUAGUGGGAAUGUAAGCUGAUAACGAAUGUAAAUGUGUUUUUAAGCUUGCCACAAAACCCCAAAUGAGAGGCAGAGAGAGAUUAUGAAAAUCCCGGAGUGUUCCUUCUUUUUCCAACUCACCUUUCCUUACAGCAGCUCUUUUUCUUAUUUGUCUUAGUCUGAAAUAGUCCGUUGAAAACAGGAGUUGGAGGUUAAGUGUGCGGUGCUUCCUCCUGCCAUUUAAAAGAGCAAAAGAGCAAUUUACAAAUGCAGACCACUUUCCAACCCAGCCUUGCCACGUUAAGGAGGAGCACUCAGUGUUUGCUGCAGGUUAUUGGAGCCUUAGUGCCAGUAACCCCCAUCCAAUGUGACUGACUUUCCUGCUUAAAAGAGUGCUGAAAUUCAGCCAAACUUUGGGUAUCUGUAAUUGUCAGGGAAAGAAGGAAUAAAAACAUGGCAUGAGAAGGACUUCAGCUUUCUCCUUGCUAGAACCUCGAUGUUGAUCUCUCUCUGUCUCUCUCUGUUGUCUUCUGUGCAGCUGCAUCUGUUGCUGCACAACAUGAAUGGCUGUGCAGAUGCCACCUCAUGCCUUCAAAUAAGAAAAACGGAACUGGGGUUAACACUGCGCUAGUGCAGAACCUGUAGAAUAAAGUGGCCAUGCCUCUUUCUAAACCUGGUACUGCCAAUUGUGGAGAAGGUCAUGUGAGCACUGUUACUAACUUACGCAGCUUCUUCCAAGUAAUUUACAGUGAGAGCAAAGUUCUGAAGGACUUUUUCAAGCCCAUCCAGUUGGUACUGUUUGAUUGUAUUAAAAAUCUUUAUCGUAUGUGUCAAAAUUCUACUUUUCUGUAGGAGUUAAAGAAACUUACACUGCCUCCACAGACACUGCGUCAUCAAGGGAACAAUCAGACGACUUCAUCUGUGGACCCUUGCAACUCAAUGACCCAGGUUCUACCCAGGAUAAAGUUACAGUAGGUGGAACAAGCAAUAACAAUGAGGUGACCAGAGAGUGCCUGACCCAGGCAGAAAAGGAGCCAUGCAAUCAAAAUACAAAGGUCAUUAGACCUCAUGGACGACUUUUAGGAAGAAAAGCAGACGUCAGAAGAGUCCCACAAAGCACUCCAGAUGCCAUGCCUGAGAGAAAAAGAGCAACACCCAUGAACCCUGAAAAUGUCCACUGCAGUCGUUGCAAUGCUGUGUAUCGCAGACCAUUCAGGGACAGGGUGAUUCACUUGCUGGCUCUGAGGAAUUACAAGAAGCCAGAGUUACUUGAUCGCUUGCUGAGAGAUGGAAUAAUGCAAAAGGACAGGGGUACCCUUGGAAAGAUCCUUCAGCGGGUGAGAUCCUGCAGUUUAUGCCAGCAAUUUU